This 256-nucleotide ribosomal RNA is filed under the name uncultured bacterium. Its description in RNAcentral is "partial 16S ribosomal RNA". It matches the Rfam family "Bacterial small subunit ribosomal RNA", at positions 521 to 776 of the family's 1533-position model. The record is from RNAcentral.
UAAUACGUAGGUGGCAAGCGUUGUCCGGAUUUAUUGGGUUUAAAGGGUGCGUAGGCGGUUUAUUAAGUCAGUGGUGAAAGACGAUAGCUUAACUAUCGAGGUGCCAUUGAUACUGAUGAACUUGAGUGCAGUCGAAGUAGGCGGAAUGGACGGUGUAGCGGUGAAAUGCAUAGAUAUCGUCCAGAACACCGAUAGUGAAGACAGCUUACUAGGCUGUAACUGACGCUGAGGCACGAAAGUGUGGGGAUCAAACAGG